UACAACUCCCGUCUACUGAGAGCAGGUGCGCAUUUGGGAGCAUGAACAAUUCAUUUCAUGAGUUCAUUUCAUGAUUACCUAUCUCAAGGAAAGGAACCUUCAUACACAAUGUGGGAAGCAUGCUUCAAAAGGUGGACAACAAUGAGACCAAGAAUGAGAAUCAGACCACAUCCUAGGACUCAACAGCUCGGGUUGAAAGAGUUCCGAACUCAGAUAUCAGCUCCAUCUUCAAGCAGAAUGGAGAGUAAAGGGUUGCAAGAGGAACACAACACUGGGCAGGGAUCAGAAUGACAAAAACCAAACCCAUGGGCUUAGAGGAAAACGUGGAAGACAAGGCAGGAGGUGAGACAGUUGAGACCCAGAGAGGUAUGAUGGCUUCCUGAAGUCAUCAUGGAAUAUGUAUCACGGAGAUGGGUAUGCAGCUGAGGUAGAGCUUUCUUUGUGAAAGGUAGGUGGGGGCACUGAGCCAUCCAGGGUACCUGAUGGAGAUUUUGUCUGUCACUGUAAUAGGCUAAUGAAUCUC
Molecule: long non-coding RNA, 523 nt
Filed under: Mus spicilegus (steppe mouse)
Lineage: Eukaryota; Metazoa; Chordata; Mammalia; Rodentia; Muridae
Description: lncRNA (ENSMSIG00000001717.1)
Source: RNAcentral